This 539-nucleotide transfer RNA is filed under the name uncultured cyanobacterium. RNAcentral describes it as "partial contains 16S ribosomal RNA, 16S-23S ribosomal RNA intergenic spacer, and 23S ribosomal RNA". The stretch from base 209 to 281 matches the Rfam family "tRNA". The record is from RNAcentral. Lineage: Bacteria; Bacillati; Cyanobacteriota.
CAGGGAGACAACAAAAUGUUUAAUAUUAUUUUGUCACCUUAGGUCGAUCGGUAUCUCACGUUCUUAAUUUAUUAAGAAUUUCAUUUCCUAAGUUUUUCUAGGUCACACCCAUUAUUUUUCCUGGGCCAUUAGCUCAGGUGGUUAGAGCGCACCCCUGAUAAGGGUGAGGUCCCUGGUUCAAGUCCAGGGUGGCCCAUAUCUCUAUGUUGGGGGUAUAGCUCAGUUGGUAGAGCGCCUGCUUUGCAAGCAGGAUGUCAGCGGUUCGAGUCCGCUUACCUCCACUGAUUACCACCUCUUCCAUAACCGGUAGUAAAGGAAAUGUUUUGAGUUGUGAUCAAAUCCUGAAAGAAUCUAGCUUCCUAAUGAAAUCAUUAAGAUGCUGGACUCAUUGAAUUAAUUUCAUUGUUUUCAGAGAACCUUGACAACUGCAUAGAUUAUUUUUAAAGACAAUAAGCAUCUUUAAUGAUGCAGAUUUAUUAUUUGUGCGAAUGCAUUAAUAACAAUUCUAUUAAGCUGAUGCUUCAAUUUUUGAAGUUAUU